This 2930-nucleotide ribosomal RNA is filed under the name Bacillus amyloliquefaciens. RNAcentral's name for it is "23S ribosomal RNA". It matches the Rfam family "Bacterial large subunit ribosomal RNA". Lineage: Bacteria; Bacillati; Bacillota; Bacilli; Caryophanales; Bacillaceae. RNAcentral also lists the same sequence under 1 other name. The record is from RNAcentral.
GGUUAAGUUAGAAAGGGCGCACGGUGGAUGCCUUGGCACUAGGAGCCGAUGAAGGACGGGACGAACACCGAUAUGCUUCGGGGAGCUGUAAGCAAGCUUUGAUCCGGAGAUUUCCGAAUGGGGAAACCCACCACUCGUAAUGGAGUGGUAUCCAUAUCUGAAUACAUAGGAUAUGAGAAGGCAGACCCGGGGAACUGAAACAUCUAAGUACCCGGAGGAAGAGAAAGCAAAUGCGAUUCCCUGAGUAGCGGCGAGCGAAACGGGACCAGCCCAAACCAAGAGGCUUGCCUCUUGGGGUUGUAGGACACUCUGUACGGAGUUACAAAGGAACGAGGUAGAUGAAGAGGUCUGGAAAGGCCCGCCAUAGGAGGUAACAGCCCUGUAGUCAAAACUUCGUUCUCUCCUGAGUGGAUCCUGAGUACGGCGGAACACGUGAAAUUCCGUCGGAAUCCGGGAGGACCAUCUCCCAAGGCUAAAUACUCCCUAGUGACCGAUAGUGAACCAGUACCGUGAGGGAAAGGUGAAAAGCACCCCGGAAGGGGAGUGAAAGAGAUCCUGAAACCGUGUGCCUACAAGUAGUCAGAGCCCGUUAACGGGUGAUGGCGUGCCUUUUGUAGAAUGAACCGGCGAGUUACGAUCCCGUGCAAGGUUAAGCAGAAGAUGCGGAGCCGCAGCGAAAGCGAGUCUGAAUAGGGCGAAUUGAGUACGUGGUCGUAGACCCGAAACCAGGUGAUCUACCCAUGUCCAGGGUGAAGUUCAGGUAACACUGAAUGGAGGCCCGAACCCACGCACGUUGAAAAGUGCGGGGAUGAGGUGUGGGUAGGGGUGAAAUGCCAAUCGAACCUGGAGAUAGCUGGUUCUCUCCGAAAUAGCUUUAGGGCUAGCCUCAAGGUAAGAGUCUCGGAGGUAGAGCACUGAUUGGACUAGGGGCCCCUACCGGGUUACCGAAUUCAGUCAAACUCCGAAUGCCGAUGACUUAUCCUUGGGAGUCAGACUGCGAGUGAUAAGAUCCGUAGUCGAAAGGGAAACAGCCCAGACCGCCAGCUAAGGUCCCAAAGUAUACGUUAAGUGGAAAAGGAUGUGGAGUUGCUUAGACAACCAGGAUGUUGGCUUAGAAGCAGCCACCAUUUAAAGAGUGCGUAAUAGCUCACUGGUCGAGUGACUCUGCGCCGAAAAUGUACCGGGGCUAAACGUAUCACCGAAGCUGCGGACUGUUCUUCGAACAGUGGUAGGAGAGCGUUCUAAGGGCUGUGAAGCAAGACCGGAAGGACUUGUGGAGCGCUUAGAAGUGAGAAUGCCGGUAUGAGUAGCGAAAGAGGGGUGAGAAUCCCCUCCACCGAAUGCCUAAGGUUUCCUGAGGAAGGCUCGUCCGCUCAGGGUUAGUCGGGACCUAAGCCGAGGCCGAAAGGCGUAGGCGAUGGAUAACAGGUUGAUAUUCCUGUACCACCUCCUCACCAUUUGAGCAAUGGGGGGACGCAGGAGGAUAGGGUAAGCGCGGUAUUGGAUAUCCGCGUCCAAGCAGUUAGGCUGGGAAAUAGGCAAAUCCGUUUCCCGUGAAGGCUGAGCUGUGAUGGCGAGCGAAUUAUAGUAGCGAAGUUCCUGAUUCCACACUGCCAAGAAAAGCCUCUAGCGAGGUGAGAGGUGCCCGUACCGCAAACCGACACAGGUAGGCGAGGAGAGAAUCCUAAGGUGAUCGAGAGAACUCUCGUUAAGGAACUCGGCAAAAUGACCCCGUAACUUCGGGAGAAGGGGUGCUCUGUUAGGGUGAAAGCCCGAGAGAGCCGCAGUGAAUAGGCCCAGGCGACUGUUUAGCAAAAACACAGGUCUCUGCGAAGCCGUAAGGCGAAGUAUAGGGGCUGACGCCUGCCCGGUGCUGGAAGGUUAAGAGGAGCGCUUAGCGUAAGCGAAGGUGCGAAUUGAAGCCCCAGUAAACGGCGGCCGUAACUAUAACGGUCCUAAGGUAGCGAAAUUCCUUGUCGGGUAAGUUCCGACCCGCACGAAAGGCGCAACGAUCUGGGCACUGUCUCAACGAGAGACUCGGUGAAAUUAUAGUACCUGUGAAGAUGCAGGUUACCCGCGACAGGACGGAAAGACCCCGUGGAGCUUUACUGCAGCCUGAUAUUGAAUGUUGGUACAGCUUGUACAGGAUAGGUAGGAGCCUUGGAAACCGGAGCGCCAGCUUCGGUGGAGGCAUCGGUGGGAUACUACCCUGGCUGUAUUGACCUUCUAACCCGCCGCCCUUAUCGGGCGGGGAGACAGUGUCAGGUGGGCAGUUUGACUGGGGCGGUCGCCUCCUAAAAGGUAACGGAGGCGCCCAAAGGUUCCCUCAGAAUGGUUGGAAAUCAUUCGCAGAGUGUAAAGGCACAAGGGAGCUUGACUGCGAGACCUACAAGUCGAGCAGGGACGAAAGUCGGGCUUAGUGAUCCGGUGGUUCCGCAUGGAAGGGCCAUCGCUCAACGGAUAAAAGCUACCCCGGGGAUAACAGGCUUAUCUCCCCCAAGAGUCCACAUCGACGGGGAGGUUUGGCACCUCGAUGUCGGCUCAUCGCAUCCUGGGGCUGUAGUCGGUCCCAAGGGUUGGGCUGUUCGCCCAUUAAAGCGGUACGCGAGCUGGGUUCAGAACGUCGUGAGACAGUUCGGUCCCUAUCCGUCGCGGGCGCAGGAAAUUUGAGAGGAGCUGUCCUUAGUACGAGAGGACCGGGAUGGACGCACCGCUGGUGUACCAGUUGUUCUGCCAAGGGCAUCGCUGGGUAGCUAUGUGCGGACGGGAUAAGUGCUGAAAGCAUCUAAGCAUGAAGCCCCCCUCAAGAUGAGAUUUCCCAUUCCGCAAGGAAGUAAGAUCCCUGAAAGAUGAUCAGGUUGAUAGGUCUGAGGUGGAAGUGUGGCGACACAUGGAGCUGACAGAUACUAAUCGAUCGAGGACUUAACCAA